CCUACGGGUGGCAGCAGUGAGGAAUAUUGGUCAAUGGGCGAGAGCCUGAACCAGCCAAGUCGCGUGAAGGAUGACGGCCCUACGGGUUGUAAACUUCUGUUGUCAGGGAGCAAUUGGGUCCACGCGUGGGCUUAGCGAGAGUACCUGAAGAAAAAGCAUCGGCUAACUACGUGCCAGCAGCCGCGGUAAUACGGAGGGGGCAAGCGUUAGGCGGAUUUAGUGGGUGUAAAGGGAGCGUAGACGGGAUGGCAAGUCGGAAGUGAACGCCCAGGGCUGAACCCUGGGACUGCUUUGGAAACUGUUAGACUAGAGUGAUGGAGAGGUAAGUGGAAUUCGCAGUGUAGCAGUGAAAUGCGUAGAUAUCGGGAGGAACACCAGUGGCGAAGGCGGGUUACUGGACAGUAACUGACGUUGAGGCUCGAAAGCGUGGGGAGCAAACAGGAUUAGAUACCCGAGUAGUC
Molecule: ribosomal RNA, 461 nt
Filed under: uncultured bacterium
Lineage: Bacteria
Description: partial 16S ribosomal RNA
Rfam family: Bacterial small subunit ribosomal RNA
Source: RNAcentral